Molecule: transfer RNA, 72 nt
Filed under: Ovis aries (sheep)
Lineage: Eukaryota; Metazoa; Chordata; Mammalia; Artiodactyla; Bovidae
Rfam family: tRNA
About the family: Transfer RNA (tRNA) molecules are approximately 80 nucleotides in length. Their secondary structure includes four short double-helical elements and three loops (D, anti-codon, and T loops).
Source: Rfam by way of RNAcentral
UCCUUGAUAGCUCAGUUGGUAAAGAAUCUGCCUGUAAUGCAGGAGACCUGGGUUCGAUCCCUGGGUUGGGAA